GGGGACGUAGCUCAGCUGGGAGAGCGCCUGAAUGGCAUUCAGGAGGUCGGCGGUUCGAUCCCGCUCGUCUCCACCA
RNAcentral lists this transfer RNA (76 nucleotides) under bacterium. Its description in RNAcentral is "tRNA-Ala". It matches the Rfam family "tRNA". From Rfam's summary of the family: Transfer RNA (tRNA) molecules are approximately 80 nucleotides in length. Their secondary structure includes four short double-helical elements and three loops (D, anti-codon, and T loops). RNAcentral also lists the same sequence under 3 other names. The record is from RNAcentral.